GUCGGAGUGGCGGAAUUGGUAGACGCGCUAGGUUGAGGGCCUAGUGAGCAUUAGCUCGUGGAGGUUCGAGUCCUCUCUCCGACA
RNAcentral lists this transfer RNA (84 nucleotides) under Acidimicrobiia bacterium. Its description in RNAcentral is "tRNA-Leu". It matches the Rfam family "tRNA". From Rfam's summary of the family: Transfer RNA (tRNA) molecules are approximately 80 nucleotides in length. Lineage: Bacteria; Bacillati; Actinomycetota; Acidimicrobiia. The record is from RNAcentral.